GGAAUCUUGCGCAAUGGGCGAAAGCCUGACGCAGCGACGCCACGUGGGUGAUGAAGGCCUUCGGGUUGUAAAGCCCUGUGGGGAGGGACGAAUAACGGCGACCGAACACGUCGUCGGAUGACGGUACCUCCUUAGCAAGCACCGGCUAACUCUGUGCCAGCAGCCGCGGUAAGACAGAGGGUGCAAACGUUGUUCGGAAUUACUGGGCGUAAAGCGCGUGUAGGCGGUCGCGCAAGUCGGGUGUGAAAGCCCAGGGCUCAACCCUGGAAGUGCAUUCGAUACUGUGUGGCUAGAGUCCCGGAGAGGGUGGUGGAACUCUCGGUGUAGAGGUGAAAUUCGUAGAUAUCGAGAAGAACACCGGUGGCGAAGGCGGCCACCUGGACGGUGACUGACGCUGAGACGCGAAAGCGUGGGGAG
Molecule: ribosomal RNA, 417 nt
Filed under: uncultured bacterium
Lineage: Bacteria
Description: bacterial SSU rRNA
Rfam family: Bacterial small subunit ribosomal RNA
Source: RNAcentral